RNAcentral lists this long non-coding RNA (768 nucleotides) under Pelusios castaneus (West African mud turtle). RNAcentral's name for it is "lncRNA (ENSPCEG00000005763.1)". The record is from RNAcentral. Lineage: Eukaryota; Metazoa; Chordata; Testudines; Pelomedusidae.
AUGUAUCCUGGUGGGACCAGCCAGGGAGACGUGUCUGGGAGAUGGAUCCUAAAGGAACCAGCCAAGAAGAUGGAUCCUGAUGGGAACAGCUGGAGAGGCAGAUCCAGCAGCGCUGUCGUUGAUCUCCACAGCACCUCCACCGGAGAGGCUGAGGGUCUUGUUUAUCACUACGGCUGGCUCUCUCCCUGCAGUCACCACCUCUUCCCUGGAUGGAUCCUGUGUGCGGGGGAGGCGGGGAGGGUAUAUGAGGGCUCGACAGGAGUGAAACCGCAGGCAAACGGAGCCCUAGCGCAUCUCUACCUCCCUUCGCUGAUCCGGGGUGCAGUGGGAGUUCAACCAGUAGCCGGGCUGGGACCAGCCGGAGCUAAGGCAGUACAAUACCCCGGCUAUGGACCCCAAGGACUGCAGCCACGACCGGGAGCUCAGAAUGGGUUUGGAGCAGGACUGGGUAUCGGGGUAAAGCUGGGCAAAGCAGGAUUAGGUGCUUAUCCCCAAGGAGCAAAACAAAAGCCAGGGUACUCCCGUGCUGUGCUGCCCCUGGGAGGUUAUAGGGUAAGACCCAUAGCUGGCAGUUACUCCACAGCUCAACAAGGGUACCCUGGAGUAGGCGGUGGGUACGUAGUCAAUGGAGCACAGCCAGGAUAUGGGAAUGGCUAUGGUGCAGGAGGGAACAGUUACCCCGGCGCUGGACUCCAGUCAGGAUAUGGCAACGGUAUGUCCAGUGGCAGAGGGAUGGGAGGGAGGAGGCGAUCCCAGGGCAGGGCUAGA